RNAcentral lists this ribosomal RNA (483 nucleotides) under uncultured bacterium. Its description in RNAcentral is "partial 16S ribosomal RNA". It matches the Rfam family "Bacterial small subunit ribosomal RNA", at positions 30 to 507 of the family's 1533-position model. The record is from RNAcentral.
AUUGAACGCUGGCGGCAGGCCUAACACAUGCAAGUCGAGCGGAUGAAGGGAGCUUGCUCCUGGAUUCAGCGGCGGACGGGUGAGUAAUGCCUAGGAAUCUGCCUGGUAGUGGGGGAUAACGUCCGAAACGGGCGCUAAUACCGCAUACGUCCUGAGGGAGAAAGUGGGGGAUCUUCGGACCUCACGCUCUCAGAUGAGCCUAGGUCGGAUUAGCUAGUUGGUGGGGUAAAGGCCUACCAAGGCGACGAUCCGUAACUGGUCUGAGAGGAUGAUCAGUCACACUGGAACUGAGACACGGUCCAGACUCCUACGGGAGGCAGCAGUGGGGAAUAUUGGACAAUGGGCGAAAGCCUGAUCCAGCCAUGCCGCGUGUGUGAAGAAGGUCUUCGGAUUGUAAAGCACUUUAAGUUGGGAGGAAGGGCAGUAAGUUAAUACCUUGCUGUUUUGACGUUACCAACAGAAUAAGCACCGGCUAACUUCGUG